GCGGGUGUGGUUCAAUGGUAGAAUGGGACCUUGCCAAGGUUCAGACGAGGGUUCGAUUCCCUUCACCCGCU
Molecule: transfer RNA, 71 nt
Filed under: Elusimicrobia bacterium GWA2_38_7
Lineage: Bacteria; Pseudomonadati; Elusimicrobiota
Also listed under: 4 other names
Description: tRNA-Gly
Rfam family: tRNA
About the family: Transfer RNA (tRNA) molecules are approximately 80 nucleotides in length. Their secondary structure includes four short double-helical elements and three loops (D, anti-codon, and T loops).
Source: RNAcentral